AAAGCGUAAUAGCUCACUGGUCGAGUCGGCCUGCGCGGAAGAUGUAACGGGGCUAAACCAUGCACCGAAGCUGCGGCAGCGACACUAUGUGUUGUUGGGUAGGGGAGCGUUCUGUAAGCCUGUGAAGGUGUGCUGUGAGGCAUGCUGGAGGUAUCAGAAGUGCGAAUGCUGACAUAAGUAACGAUAAAGCGGGUGAAAAGCCCGCUCGCCGGAAGACCAAGGGUUCCUGUCCAACGUUAAUCGGGGCAGGGUGAGUCGACCCCUAAGGCGAGGCCGAAAGGCGUAGUCGAUGGGAAACAGGUUAAUAUUCCUGUACUUGGUGUUACUGCGAAGGGGGGACGGAGAAGGCUAUGUUGGCCGGGCGACGGUUGUCCCGGUUUAAGCGUGUAGGCUGGUUUUCCAGGCAAAUCCGGAAAAUCAAGGCUGAGGCGUGAUGACGAGGCACUACGGUGCUGAAGCAACAAAUGCCCUGCU
This 474-nucleotide ribosomal RNA is filed under the name Escherichia coli. Its description in RNAcentral is "partial 23S ribosomal RNA". It matches the Rfam family "Bacterial large subunit ribosomal RNA", at positions 1129 to 1606 of the family's 2925-position model. Lineage: Bacteria; Pseudomonadati; Pseudomonadota; Gammaproteobacteria; Enterobacterales; Enterobacteriaceae. The record is from RNAcentral.